UAGGGAAUAUUGGGCAUUGGAUGCAAGUCUGACCCAGCCAUGCCGCGUGCCGGAUGAAGGCCCUCGGGGUUGUAAACGGCCUUUAUUCGGGAAGAAGAGCAUGGAUGCGUCUGUGUGUGACGGUACCGAAUGAAUAAUCACCGGCUAACUCCGUGCCAGCAGCCGCGGUAAUACGGAGGGUGCGAGCGUUGUCCGGACCCAUUGGGUUUAAAGGGUGCGUAGGUGGCUUUUUAAGUCAGUGGUGAAAUACAGCCGCUCAACGGUUGAGGUGCCAUUGAUACUGAAGGGCGUGAAACAAGUGGAGGCAGCCGGAAUGGAUGGUGUAGCGGUGAAAAGCAUAGAUAUCAUCCAGAACACCGAUUGCGAAGGCAGGUGGCUACGUUUGAUUUGACACUGAGGCACGAAAGCAUGGGGAGCAAACA
RNAcentral lists this ribosomal RNA (422 nucleotides) under uncultured bacterium. RNAcentral's name for it is "bacterial SSU rRNA". It matches the Rfam family "Bacterial small subunit ribosomal RNA", at positions 355 to 774 of the family's 1533-position model. The record is from RNAcentral.